This 468-nucleotide ribosomal RNA is filed under the name uncultured bacterium. RNAcentral describes it as "partial 16S ribosomal RNA". It matches the Rfam family "Bacterial small subunit ribosomal RNA", at positions 28 to 507 of the family's 1533-position model. The record is from RNAcentral.
GACGAACGCUGGCGGCGUGCUUAACACAUGCAAGUCGAACGGAAAGGCCCUGCUUUUGUGGGGUGCUCGAGUGGCGAACGGGUGAGUAACACGUGAGUAACCUGCCCUUGACUUUGGGAUAACUUCAGGAAACUGGGGCUAAUACCGGAUAGGAGCUCCUGCUGCAUGGUGGGGGUUGGAAAGUUUCGGCGGUUGGGGAUAGACUCGCGGCUUAUCAGCUUGUUGGUGGGGUAGUGGCUUACCAAGGCUUUGACGGGUAGCCGGCCUGAGAGGGUGACCGGCCACAUUGGGACUGAGAUACGGCCCAGACUCCUACGGGAGGCAGCAGAGGGGAAUAUUGCACAAUGGGCGGAAGCCUGAUGCAGCAACGCCGCGUGCGGGAUGACGGCCUUCGGGUUGUAAACCGCUUUCGCCUGUGACGAAGCGUGAGUGACGGUAAUGGGUAAAGAAGCACCGGCUAACUACGUG